This 954-nucleotide ribosomal RNA is filed under the name uncultured bacterium. Its description in RNAcentral is "bacterial SSU rRNA". It matches the Rfam family "Bacterial small subunit ribosomal RNA", at positions 45 to 992 of the family's 1533-position model. The record is from RNAcentral.
GGCUUACACAUGCAAGUCGAGGGGAACGGCAUUGAGUGCUUGCACUGAAUGGACGUCGACCGGCGCACGGGUGAGUAACGCGUAUCCAACCUUCCCGUUACUGCGGGAUAACCUGCCGAAAGGCAGACUAAUACCGCAUGUUCUACGAUGACGGCAUCAGAUUCGAAGCAAAGAUUCUUCGGUAACGGAGGGGGAUGCGUCUGAUUAGCUAGUUGGCGGGGCGACGGCCCACCAAGGCGACGAUCAGUAGGGGUUCUGAGAGGAAGGUCCCCCACAUUGGAACUGAGACACGGUCCAAACUCCUACGGGAGGCAGCAGUGAGGAAUAUUGGUCAAUGGGCGGAAGCCUGAACCAGCCAAGUAGCGUGCAGGAGGACGGCCCUACGGGUUGUAAACUGCUUUUAUGCGGGGAUAAAGUGAGGGACGCGUCCCUUUUUGCAGGUACCGCAUGAAUAAGGACCGGCUAAUUCCGUGCCAGCAGCCGCGGUAAUACGGAAGGUCCGGGCGUUAUCCGGAUUUAUUGGGUUUAAAGGGAGCGUAGGCCGGGGAUUAAGUGUGUUGUGAAAUGUAGGCGCCCAACGUCUGACUUGCAGCGCAUACUGGUUCCCUUGAGUACGCGCAACGCCGGCGGAAUUCGUCGUGUAGCGGUGAAAUGCUUAGAUAUGACGAAGAACCCCGAUUGCGAAGGCAGCCGGCGGGAGCGCAACUGACGCUGAAGCUCGAAGGUGCGGGUAUCGAACAGGAUUAGAUACCCUGGUAGUCCGCACGGUAAACGAUGGAUGCCCGCUGUCGGCGCCUUGCGCCGGCGGCCAAGCGAAAGCGUUAAGGAUCCCACCUGGGGAGUACGCCGGCAACGGUGAAACUCAAAGGAAUUGACGGGGGCCCGCACAAGCGGAGGAACAUGUGGUUUAAUUCGAUGAUACGCGAGGAACCUUACCCGGGCUUGAAUCGCAGG